AGAGUUUGAUCAUGGCUCAGAACGAACGCUGGCGGCAGGCCUAACACAUGCAAGUCGAGCGCCCAGCAAUGGGAGCGGCGCACGGGUGAGUAACACGUGGGGAACGUGCCUUUCGGUUCGGAAUAACCCAGGGAAACUUGGGCUAAUACCGGAUACGCCCUUAGGGGGAAAGAUUUAUUGCCGAAAGAGCGGCCCGCGUCCGAUUAGCUUGUUGGUGAGGUAAAAGCUCACCAAGGCGACGAUCGGUAGCUGGUUUGAGAGAACGAUCAGCCACACUGGGACUGAGACACGGCCCAGACUCCUACGGGAGGCAGCAGUGGGGAAUCUUGGACAAUGGGGGAAACCCUGAUCCAGCCAUGCCGCGUGAGUGAUGAAGGCCCUAGGGUUGUAAAACUCUUUCGGCGGGGACGAUAAUGACGGUACCCGCAGAAGAAGCUCCGGCUAACUUCGUGCCAGCAGCCGCGGUAAUACGAAGGGGGCUAGCGUUGUUCGGAAUUACUGGGCGUAAAGCGCGCGCAGGCGGUUCUUUAAGUCAGGGGUGAAAGCCCAGAGCUCAACUCUGGAAUUGCCUUUGAAACUAGAGAACUUGGGUACGGGAGAGGUGAGUGGAAUUCCGAGUGUAGAGGUGAAAUUCGUAGAUAUUCGGAAGAACACCAGUGGCGAAGGCGGCUCACUGGCCCGUUACCGACGCUCAGGCGCGACAGCGUGGGGAGCAAACAGGAUUAGAUACCCUAGUAGUCC
This 741-nucleotide ribosomal RNA is filed under the name uncultured bacterium. RNAcentral's name for it is "bacterial SSU rRNA". It matches the Rfam family "Bacterial small subunit ribosomal RNA", at positions 8 to 796 of the family's 1533-position model. The record is from RNAcentral.